ACCAUGAUCUCAAACAUCAGCCCAGAGAGAGGGCCCUUUCUCCUUCCAAAUAUUCUUUAAAAAGGCCACACUGAUGUUCUCAGAGGCAAGGCUCAGGAUCCCUGUUAGGAACAAUCUUCAUUUUCAGCUCCUCUAGUUUCCCGGAGGAAGACUUUUCUUGUAAAACUUACGGUAUCCUUUACCUCUCACUGGCUCCUCCCUGAGCAAGGAAGAAGGACUCGAUCAUAUUAAGGGAUAGGAGAGGAGGAACUGGGCAUGCCUGUUUCUGCUCCUUCCAGUCAUCUUGGAAGUGCGCACUUCUAAGGAUGUGCAAACCGAAGCCUGCUCCCCUGUGUUGUACCAGGUAUCGUCUCUUACCCGAAGGCUCUGAAUGGGGAAGUCUAGCCGUCUAUCCAGUGCUGCCAGUGACUGCGUGGGGUUAGUCUGCUCAUUUCUGCAGUUCACAAUUAGGAAGUCCAUUACUGCCCCAUACCUCUACUGGAGCUUUCAAUAGUAGUAAAGGUCAAAGGUCUGUUAGCACAGGUGCCAUCACUAGAAUUUCCAGCACACCAGCACCAACCCAGGGACCAUGUUCUCAUCAAAGGGUGGAAGGAAGGGAAACUUGAGCCCACCUGAGUAGGCCCCUAUCUUGUGCUCUUAACCACUGAGAUUGCCGUCUGCACAGCUGAGAAAUGAUGGACCCACCAUACUUCAGUCAAGGAAUCAUCUUCCUCAUCAGAAUCAUGGGUUACUAUACCAGGAUCGAGUCCUACCAAGUUAAAAUUAAA
This 767-nucleotide long non-coding RNA is filed under the name Pan troglodytes (chimpanzee). RNAcentral describes it as "long non-coding RNA NONPTRT012053". The record is from RNAcentral. Lineage: Eukaryota; Metazoa; Chordata; Mammalia; Primates; Hominidae.